This is a long non-coding RNA of Physcomitrium patens, 1291 nucleotides long. RefSeq lists it as uncharacterized. The record is from RefSeq and is a predicted model, not a curated record. Lineage: Eukaryota; Viridiplantae; Streptophyta; Bryopsida; Funariales; Funariaceae.
UGCCCAGGAAAGCUUUGGCUGGACAGGGGAAUUGGGAAGCUCGUGAGUGAUCGCAACGCAGAAUCUCAAUUUCAAGCUCUGCGAACACAAGCGAGAGUACUCCUGAGGCUAGAAUGGCUGACGCUUGGAACGAUGCCGCGCUUAUGGAGACUUUUGACGCGGCACUGACGUUGUAUCAGCAGAUACAUGGUGUCACGGUUACGAAGAGUGCGGCCUCCCCAGCAUUUGAGGUACCUGAGAAGGAAGAUGAAGAACGUGUGGACUCCCAUACUACGGACUCUAAUCCACGAGUUCAUGACCUGGGUGUGGAGCACCCCACCACAUGUACAUCCUGAAAUUGAAAUGAGCCGCGAAAUCUUGCUCAGGCGGGCGUUUCAAAGAACAUUAUCUCUUUUCUCAAAUGCUGCAGUGGUAAUUGGCCUGGCAUUUGCUCUUGAUGGGGCUGCUGACAACUAACGAUUCAUCCGCGAUCUUUCCAUCGUUGAAAACUGCAGUGCUUCAUCUGAGGUUGGUCCAGGGGCAUCCACAAGCAGGUUCAUCACUAUUACUCUAUUUCGGCAUGUUGUGAUGAGAAGGCUGCCCCAAAUUGAACGUGAAAUCAAAGAUGAGGUUCGACGGUUCACAAGCGGUAAUGUUUACCAGGAUGGUUUUCGUUUUUCCACAGUUUUUCAAAAUUUAUCUUUAUUCCAAUGAUCUUUAUUCAAAUAUCACUAUUCUAACUCAUUAAGUGUUUCUUACAAAUCAGCGUGCCCUGCUGAGGCACAUGGUAGAUCUAAAAUUGUAACUUGCACUUGAAAAGCUCUCAAAUUUCAGUUUACUCCAAAGGAGGCAUACCACGGUUUGUCACUGUUUGAAAAGUUCUCUAUGGUGCGACAAUCUGUCCUUCCCUUGUGCAGCAUGUGAUAAUGGGAGUUGGGAAAUUUGUCAAUGACAGCAGACAAGAAGACUGGAAGCUCAUGAGCCCCGCUAUUUGCAUGGAAGGUUCUAGUUAUCCAGGGUUAAUAUCAGCAAACUUCCCAAAAAGCGGACCAUUCAAAAUGAUGCACUUAGCCUUCGCCACCCUAUCGUAGUCAGCUUUUGAUGACCUCCAGCCUUAAAAUAUCGCAGUAGUACAGCCUUUAUGGCCGAAUCGGGGUGUAGAGACAACGCAUGCAGGCAACGAGUGCAAAGUAUAAGCACAGUGAGGUGUGAAGACUUUCUGUAGCCCGUUUCCUUCUCAGUUGUGCAAUGUCCUAGUUGCAUUAGUAUUCGAAAGAAAGUGGUAUUGAAUAUAUGCACUGUUUUAUAUAUA